This 1077-nucleotide ribosomal RNA is filed under the name Triticum aestivum (bread wheat). Its description in RNAcentral is "partial small subunit ribosomal RNA". The record is from RNAcentral. Lineage: Eukaryota; Viridiplantae; Streptophyta; Magnoliopsida; Poales; Poaceae.
AUGGGCGACUACGGCAGCGCGAUGACGCGGGGCAACGCGGACGGCGGCUCGCAGGGCCGCCCAAAGGGAGUGCCCCGCGCCAACGUCCAGCAGCUCAAGCUCAUGGGGCAGGGCCACCCGACUGGUCUCACGCCGAACCUGCUCAAGCUGUUCGAGGCGCGGCCUAUGCUCGAGCACAAGCCGCCCGUCCAGAAGCGCAAGUUGCCAUCCUACACGGGGAUGGCGCAGUUUGUGUCGCGGUUUGCCGAGCCUGGCGACCCAGAGUAUGCGCCGCCUGUCCCAACGUGUGAGACUAAGGCCGAAAAGAAGGAUAGAAUCAGGAAACUUAAGCUUGAGCAAGGGGCAGAUAAGGUCGCCAAAGAGCUUCAGAACUAUGACCCACAAAGUGACCCCAAUACCACUUCAGAUCCAUACAAAACACUCUUCGUUGCAAGACUUAAUUAUGAGACAUCUGAGAGCAGGGUUAAGCGGGAGUUUGAAGCCUAUGGGCCUAUUAAAAGGGUACGGCUCGUAACUGACAAGGAUACCAAUAAACCUAGAGGAUAUGCAUUCAUAGAGUAUAUGCAUACUCGGGAUAUGAAAAAUGCUUACAAGCAAGCUGAUGGGAGAAAAGUGGACAAUAAGAGGGUACUAGUUGAUGUGGAACGUGGUAGAACUGUCCCUAAUUGGCGUCCCAGGAGAUUAGGCGGUGGACUUGGAUCAAGCAGAAUUUGUGGUGCAAGUGCUGACCAGAAGCCGCCUGCCAGGGAGCCAUUGAGUGUUGGGCGCCCCAGAUCAGAAGAACCUAAGAGGGGUGAUUCCCGCGUAGAUAGAGAUCGGGAGAAGUCUCGUGAAAGGGUACGGGAAAGAGACCGCGAUGAAAAUCCCCGUGAGCGUUCUCAUGACAGAAUACGUGAGCUUGAUUCAAGGGAAGAGAGGCACCACCAUAGAGAUCGGGACAGGACUCGGGACAGGGACCGAGGAAGGGACCGGGAAAAAGACCAUGGGCGUGACCGUGACCGUGAUCGUCGGGACAGAGAUAGGGAUAGGGACCGUGGUAGGGAUCAUGAUAGGGAGAAGGAUCGUGGCCUCUCAUGA